CUGCGAUAAGCGCCGGUAAGGUGAUAUGAACCGUUAUAACCGGCGAUACCCGAAUGGGGAAACCCAGUGUGAUUCGUCACACUAUCAUUAACUGAAUCCAUAGGUUAAUGAGGCGAACCGGGGGAACUGAAACAUCUAAGUACCCCGAGGAAAAGAAAUCAACCGAGAUUCCCCCAGUAGCGGCGAGCGAACGGGGAGGAGCCCAGAGCCUGAAUCAGCAUGUGUGUUAGUGGAAGCGUCUGGAAAGGCGCGCGAUACAGGGUGACAGCCCCGUACACAAAAGCGCAUGUGCUGUGAGCUCGAUGAGUAGGGCGGGACACGUGGUAUCCUGUCUGAAUAUGGGGGGACCAUCCUCCAAGGCUAAAUACUCCUGACUGACCGAUAGUGAACCAGUACCGUGAGGGAAAGGCGAAAAGAACCCCGGCGAGGGGAGUGAAAAAGAACCUGAAACCGUGUACGUACAAGCAGUGGGAGCACCCUUUGGGUGUGACUGCGUACCUUUUGUAUAAUGGGUCAGCGACUUAUAUUCUGUAGCAAGGUUAACCGAAUAGGGGAGCCGGAGGGAAACCGAGUCUUAACCGGGCGUUAAGUUGCAGGGUAUAGACCCGAAACCCGGUGAUCUAGCCAUGGGCAGGUUGAAGGUUGGGUAACACUAACUGGAGGACCGAACCGACUAAUGUUGAAAAAUUAGCGGAUGACCUGUGGCUGGGGGUGAAAGGCCAAUCAAACCGGGAGAUAGCUGGUUCUCCCCGAAAGCUAUUUAGGUAGCGCCUCGUGAAUUCAUCUCCGGGGGUAGAGCACUGUUUCGGCUAGGGGGCCAUCCCGGCUUACCAACCCGAUGCAAACUGCGAAUACCGGAGAAUGUUAUCACGGGAGACACACGGCGGGUGCUAACGUCCGUCGUGAAGAGGGAAACAACCCAGACCGCCAGCUAAGGUCCCAAAGUCAUGGUUAAGUGGGAAACGAUGUGGGAAGGCCCAGACAGCCAGGAUGUUGGCUUAGAAGCAGCCAUCAUUUAAAGAAAGCGUAAUAGCUCACUGGUCGAGUCGGCCUGCGCGGAAGAUGUAACGGGGCUAAACCAUGCACCGAAGCUGCGGCAGCGACACUGUG
This 1110-nucleotide ribosomal RNA is filed under the name Salmonella enterica subsp. enterica serovar Enteritidis. RNAcentral describes it as "partial 23S ribosomal RNA". It matches the Rfam family "Bacterial large subunit ribosomal RNA", at positions 66 to 1218 of the family's 2925-position model. Lineage: Bacteria; Pseudomonadati; Pseudomonadota; Gammaproteobacteria; Enterobacterales; Enterobacteriaceae. The record is from RNAcentral.